GAAGGAUAUGGCCAUUGGCUGAUUUGAUGAUCGUGAAAGCAUGCUCAAAAUUGUGAGUCGCGCUGGCAUAGGUUCAUGCUCCUUUGUGAUCCCCCCCCCCCCCCCGCUGUAGCUUCCUGAGCACUCUUUGCAACGGAAAGAAGAGAACAAGCAUUUAAAGCGUGCAAUGUAUUCCUAUAACUCUGCUGGUACUUGGCGCAUUCAAAAAAACAAUUUCUGGCAAUUGAUUGGUAAGGUCAUUCAGUGAUUAUUUGGAAAAGUGUUGCAGGGCCCCUUCAAGGAGUGCAUUAAAGUUCCUGCUCAUGAAAAGUGAAUAAUAGCUUUUGUAUACUUGGGGCUGCCUUAGCGAAGGAAAUAGGCAAAUUCUUGCUUUUUACGAUGUUAAGGGACUUUUCAUUACAAUGUAGUUUUCACAUAAGCUUCAGAUUGGGAAUAUUUUGUAUUUAAAAUUAUUGGGAUAUAUAUCCAGCUUGUGUUAUCUCACUAAGUGACGUCAUGUGGCAAUAUGCGUGAAAAGCGUGGAGCACAUCAGCUUCCACAUCAGCUAUGGUGAGCUCCGAUAACAAUGCGGCUAAAUUGUCUUAAUGCUAUCUUAAUGCUUAAUGCUAUAAGCAGAACCCUUUUUGUUUGUGGCAUUAGCUGCUGUCUGGCAUCACUUACUACACAACUAUUUCGUGAUCACUUUUGAGUUUGAUAUAUACUAGGUUCCACUGAAAGUUGAUCUCGAUAUGCUGCACCUUCAGUCAUCAGUUGAUGAACAGUCGCAUCAGGUGUCACAUGCUGAUUGAUGACUGUGAAACUAGUGUUAUGCCCAGUCCAAGAAUUCCCGAUCCUUGUAUUACUGAAAUGUCUAUACCCUGGAAUUCUCUUGUAUCAAAAAGGCUGUCCCAACAUGAUCAUCAGUAGGAAGUUAUGGGAUUAAGAUACUAUAAGCGUAUGAGUGACAUUUUAAUAAAGGGUGAAGGUUGCUUAAUGGCAGCAAGGCUAGUUUUGCUGUGCAUCGGGGAAAGCUUUGGUUUCGCUUCAGCCAAGUGCGACUGCCCUUGCCACCCCACUGCCUGUUGACGCUGCUCCACUGCGUGCAUGUGCUUUCUUCUCUUGCCUGCUACAUCUGCAUGUGUUUGCAUUUCUGAAUGCUUGCUUGUCUUUUUAACGCACAUUUCUCUGUGGUCCCACGCAUGCGUCUGUGUUCCACCAAUUUCUGUGCCUUAUUGUCAUGCUGCCUUGCUUGUACAUGCUUCGUGAAACUUUGUGUUCAAGCUCUCAGCCCACACUUUGUAUGCUGGUUAGUUAGCUAUGGAGCAGGCUUGUCGUUUCACCAUAGUGGUCUUCAUGCAGCCCAAGGGGCAAGAAAUAAUGAGAGGAAUCUGUUCACCAUGCCAAUAUGCUGAUGCAGCACGAGAGUGUCAUGCCGGGUGAGAAGGUGCAUCGUAGACGCCACUUCAGGCAUGUUCACAUAAGGCAGGGUGCAGGUUUUGUAGUUGGUGGAACAGAUUUACACUAAUAGCACAAAUGUUAGCUUUGGACACCAGAGAAAGGAAAGGACAUAUGUCGCUUUUUUGCUUGUUUCUUCUUUGGCAUCCAAGUUUUAUGUUCACAUUAUUUUUAUUUUUUACAUCCACUUCCAUGGAAGUGGCGUAAAAAUGCUACAUGUAAUACUGCUCCAUAGUUAGCAAGUUGUGUAAAAUUUUGUGUAUCUGUGUCAAGAAGAAUGUGUGGUGAGUCAUUUAGUGACAGCCAUUCCUGGAUGCUGCCCUGUGUAUCUGAUGUAAGGCCCCUAAAAAUAGCUGAUAGCAACAGUCUGCGAGCAGACAAUGCCUGCUUAAUCCAUGAAUCCCAAGGAUUGCAUGGGUAGAUGCAAGGAAACAAUGCUGUGAUUGGUUUUACUUAGGUAGUCAUGAACAGCUGUACAAGCUUUUGUGUCUUGCGCAGGCAUGGCCUUUUCCUUAUAGCUCUCGGAUGCACUUGUUUGUUUUUUCAGGGUUCCACACUUGCUCUUGUAUUAUGUUGUGCACACUUUUCUCAUGCCUGUGUGUAACCCACCACUGAAGCUUAGUGGCUAUGGCAUCGCACUGCUGAGUGUAAGAUUAUGGGUUCAAUUCCUAUGCACUGCAGCUGCAUUUCGAUAGGGCAAAAUGCAAGAAUGCCUGUCUACUUCAAUUUGGGUGCACAUUAAAUAACCCCAGGUUGGGAAAAUAGUUCCAGAGUUCCCCCACUACAGCAUGCUUCAUAAUCAUGUUGUGGUUUUGCAUGUAAAUAAACUGGAUUUCUUUUCUUUUUUUUUUUCUUUUUUUUGUCCAUGUGGUGAGACUAAGGUCCCUAUGACUGCAAAAGCAAGGGCCUUCCAUCCACACAUUUCGAGGAUGGAACAAAAACGUGCUGUACCAAACUGUAGCAGUGGAGACGCAUUAUUUAAGGAGAAUAUAAGGACUUUAGCAGGCUGAAUGACUCAUUAAAAUUCUGAGCUUAGGCUCUUACUACUCCAAGGAACGAUCGGGAGUUCAUAUUUCAUAAUGCAUUUGGGAGAUACACAUUUUUAAUGCCUAGGAAACGUUGCUCUGGCUUUGGGCUGAAGUAAUUUUUCACAAGCUAGAGAGGCCUGUUUUAGCGCCAGAUGCUGUAGCGUCAAUAUACUCUAAGUAUGCAAAAAACUCGCCUUCUGCUCGCAAAAAAAAGAAAAAGGAAAAGCGGAUAAUUUUAAGGGGGAAGUGAAAUACAGUACCGUAAUGUUUGAAGAGGCUUGUAUCGUAUUUCCCUGUGUGCUUUAGUCUAGGUGGGAAGUAGACUGAUGUGUUAUACAAGGGCCAUGUAAUGUAUCUACCCAUUCAUAUUUGUAUGGUGAUAUGUUUGCUUUAGUUCUUGCACAAUAAGCAUAGUGGUCUGUGAAAAACCUUUCUUAAGCAUGGGCCUGGCUGAGGUGACUGCCUGUACCCAUCUUCAGAAACAUGUGGUUGUCCAUCUGGGAUUGAGUCAUGUACAAGUGUGGUCAAAAGUUCCCAGGCCGCACUGCCAUAGUAUCACAUGGGAAACUGGCCUGCGUGCAAACUUUUUACCAGCCCUGUACCUCUUGCAACUGAGCUGCACACUCUAUUCAUUGAGCUCACCAGAUUAAAAUCCAUUCUCUAAAUGCCAAUUUUUUGUUUUUGUUGAGUAUGGAAUUUCUAGGGGAGGGUAAAAUGACUACUAAAUAAGGACGAGGCAAGGGCUCAAGGGCUAUGCUCUUGUUACAACUGUGUUGCUUCAUUACUUCAUUCAUGUAUUGAUUCCUCACAUUGUGCUCUCUUCUGUACGUCGUCAUGCUGCAGUUGUCAGGCCUCUUAGAUGAAGUUGCACACCUUGCUAUUUCCACGUUCAUAAUUACAAUAAUAACCUUUCGCUGAACAGCAUUAGCACGCAGCAUGAAACACACCGUACAAUGUGCAUAAUGCAUUUUUGCAUGGUCCCAGUGACGUACUGAAUGAUGCUGGAGUGUCCAGUCUGCCACUGGUAGCUUGCACAGGCAGCAGGGCACCUGUAGCCCACCAGUAACACCUAUGUCACACGGGCACUCUUGAAACGCCACAAGUAUUGACUCGGUAGCCAUAGAAAGCGCCCAUGUACCAGCUCGAACUUGGCCAUUGAGUCGGAGGACUAUCGAUUGAAAAGCCUUCCAAACGCCCGUGCGACACGGGCAUAACAAGAGCUAUCUUAUGGGACAUAUCGUGGUUACAUUAAUGUUUAGUACAUUGUUCUGAGUGUUUCCUUGAUCACUGCCUUUGCUAUUGGUAUGUCAGAGGCAUUAUGCUACCAAGCCAUGGCACUCGUAUUUUGACAGAGGUGGAACGCAAAAUGUACUCGUCUGUUAUGCUUUGGGCACAUGGUAAGAACACCAGGUGGUCAAAAAGUCAUCCAAAAUCUCUUACUACAGAGUAUCUCAUAGCUUGGGAAUGUUGUUGGAAUGUUAAACCUCGUAACAUAAUUGCUCUGUGGUGCAGAUUAGAUUAUUAUAGCACAUUGUGUCAGCACGUGACCACUUUAGCCUUUGUGAGAAACAGAUUUGUGCUGUGCGGGCACCAGGGCUAGUACGUCGCAGUUGGCUUUAUUGCGCAUUCUAGAUUAACCGGUUUGCAGAGGUUUGCAAACCUGGAGCUGACGAGUUCUUGUAGAAUGUGCAGUCAAGAUGGGGAAUCGCAUCCUGUGCAUCACAUGGCCAUGAAGCACUGUGACCAGUGCACGUAAGUAUGGUGUGGAAAGUGAGUCCAUGUUAUUUUUCACUAUGGCCAAUGUAGAGGUUCAGUUAAGUUAAAGAGCAUAAAGAAUGCUGCUGUGUGGGACUCACAAGAGCUCAAUUGUUUAAUUUUAUUUCUGUGUUAAUGGGCCUCGGUCUUUUUCUACUCUAUGCACAGAUGAAAAAGGUCCCUGACCUGUGCUCCGCCAGUGCCAUGGAUGCCAGCGACACUUAAAGCUGCCACGGGACCUGAGUCAGAGCUGCUGCUGGGCCAACGUUCUUGCCAACGAGUGCGAAGAGGGUCGCCGUGGUGUCGUGUGGAUGCUCAAAAGAAUAUUUUUGCACUCUUGUGUUCUCACUCGCUGUCUUUCCUUUGUUUUGCGUUCUACAAGAAUAAAGCCAGUAUUCUUGCAUA
Long non-coding RNA from Rhipicephalus sanguineus (brown dog tick), 4622 nucleotides. RefSeq lists it as uncharacterized. The transcript is spliced from 2 exons. The record is from RefSeq and is a predicted model, not a curated record. NCBI's taxonomy places the organism in Eukaryota, Metazoa, Arthropoda, Arachnida, Ixodida, Ixodidae.